RNAcentral lists this transfer RNA (65 nucleotides) under Dipodomys ordii (Ord's kangaroo rat). It matches the Rfam family "tRNA". From Rfam's summary of the family: Transfer RNA (tRNA) molecules are approximately 80 nucleotides in length. Their secondary structure includes four short double-helical elements and three loops (D, anti-codon, and T loops). The record is from Rfam by way of RNAcentral. Lineage: Eukaryota; Metazoa; Chordata; Mammalia; Rodentia; Heteromyidae.
GGUGGCUCAGUGGUAGAGUGCUUGUCUUGAAUGCAUGAGGCUCUGGGUUCGAUUCCUCAGCACCA